ACAUGCAAGUCGAGCGGACUAAUGGCAGCUUGCUCCGUUAUGUCAACGGCGGACGGGUGAAUAACACUUGGGUAACCUGCCUGUAACACUGGAAUAACUCCGGGAAACCGGGGCUAAUACCGGAUGCUUGAUUGAACCGCAUGGUUCAAUUAAUAAACGUGGCUUUUAGCUACCACUUACGAAUGGACCCGCGGCGCAUUACCUAGUUGGUGAGGUAACGGCUCACCAAGGCAACGAUGCAUACCCGACCUGAGAGGGUGAUCGGCCACACUGGGACUGAAACACGGCCCAAACUCCUACGGGAGGCACCAGUAGGGAAUCUUCCGCAAUGGACGAAAGUCUGACGGAGCAACGCCGCGUGAGUGAUGAAGGUUUUCGGAUCGUAAAACUCUGUUGUUAGGGAAAAACAAGUACCGUUGAAAUAGGGCGGUACCUUGACGGUACCUAACCAGAAAGCCACGGCUAACUACGUGCCAGCAGCCGCGGUAAAACGAAGGUGGCAAGCGUUGUCCGGAAUUAUUGGGCGUAAAACGCGCGCAGGCGGUUUCUUAAGUCU
RNAcentral lists this ribosomal RNA (556 nucleotides) under Bacillus sp. WMB3. RNAcentral's name for it is "bacterial SSU rRNA". It matches the Rfam family "Bacterial small subunit ribosomal RNA", at positions 53 to 590 of the family's 1533-position model. Lineage: Bacteria; Bacillati; Bacillota; Bacilli; Caryophanales; Bacillaceae. The record is from RNAcentral.